Molecule: long non-coding RNA, 8231 nt
Organism: Nyctereutes procyonoides (raccoon dog)
Lineage: Eukaryota; Metazoa; Chordata; Mammalia; Carnivora; Canidae
Exons: 2
Source: RefSeq, a predicted model, not a curated record
GUCAGCUGAGCCCCCACCUCCUCCAGGAAGCCCCCCUGGAUGCGGCCCUGCUCUUUGGGGGCUCACUCCCCUCUGGAGCCUUCAGCACUUCUCUGAACCACCCGUUGGACACUGUGGUGGUGUUUUAAUUGUGAUGAAAAAUAAAACAGCCUCUUAAGGUCUUGACUGUCCACUAUCAUUCCCCAUAAACACUAUGAUGUAUAUGGGAUUUCUAGAACUUUUUCAAAGCUGCAUGAGUGAACCUCUGUCCCCUGGAACCGCAGCUUCCCCUCUCGCUUCCCCAGCUGCUGGCAACCACAUCCUACUUUCUGUUCCUGUGAGUCUAUUUGAGGUACCUGGUGAAGUGCUAUCUAGAGGUGGUGACAAACUGAGUCCCCAUCAACAACGCGUAGUGGGGACGCCUGGGUGGCUCAGCGGUUGAGCACCUACCCUGGGAUCCAGGGAUCGAGUCCCACGUCAGGCUCCCUGCAUGGAGCCUGCUUCUCCCUCUGCCUGUGUCCCUGCCUCUCUCUCUCUCUCUCUCUGUGUGUGUCUCUCAUGAAUAAAUAAAUGGAAUCUUUAAAAAAAAAAAACACUGAGUGUUUAAGAACACUGAGUGGAUUAAGAAACACUGAGUGGAUUAAGAAAAGAUGGUGUGUACAUACAAUGGAGGAUUAGGCGUAAAGAAGAAGUAAUCCGGUGACGAGCAACAUUGUGGACGGACCGGACGACGUUAUGCUAAGUGAAGUUAGCCAGUCACAGAAGGUCAAAUACUCUAGGGUCCUGACUUAUUCGAUCGCACCUGAGUUACAAGGCGGCCCCAUCACAGGUUCUCCGCCCCCGGCUACCCGCUACCCGUUAGCAUCACCUGGAGAACCUUAACAACCGCCCCACCCAGGCUGCUCCCCAGCCCAGUAAAUGAGCACCUCUGUGGGAUCUGGGCUCCAGGAGCACCCCCAGGGGCUCCAGCACGUGCCAAGGUUAGGAAUCCGGGAUGCGGGGUCAGCACAUCUAAUCCCAAGCCUUGAAUCUGCCACUUACUUGGUAGGUGCCCUUGACAAGAAGAAGAGAUUAACGGCCCUCAUUGAGCACUGACUGUAUGCCCCCAGCAAGUAUGCCACAGCCAGUCCCAUUUUCCAGGACGCAGAGGCCCAGAGAAAUCCAGCCGUUGGCUGUGGGGCACACAGCACGGGAACCACUGGGACCAGAUUUGCAUGGAGACGGCCAGCUCAGCAGGGUCCUUAGCCCGGUGAGGCCAGUCUCCUGGGUCCUACAGAGGUAAUUCCCCUUGAUCUGGGUGCCACACCUCAUUCUGAAAAGGUCUGGGGGGCUUCACAGGAUCCUUUUUUCUGGACAAAAGUCCCAGGAUGCCAUAGGAUGACAAAGAUGAAGGGUGGGCUUCAGAAAAAAGCAAACGUAGUGGGGCACCCAGGUGGCUCCAUCGGGUGAGCAUCUGCCUUCAGCUCAGGUCAUGAUCCCGGGGUCCUGGGAUCAAGCCCCACGUCGGGCUCCCUGCUCAGAACAGAGCUUGCUUCUCCCUCUGCUCCUCACCCCGCUCAUGGUCUCUCUCUCUCAAAUAAAUAAAAUCUUUAAAAAAAAUAAAACUUAAAAAAAAAAGCAAAGCUAAGAGCAUAGAGGCAUAGUGGCCCCUGUUAACACUCCUGUCCCCCGUCAACACUCGGGGUCAGACAAGAAAGGCGGCCGCCCUUCUGGCCGGGCUCUGGCUCCCGCAGCUCACUCAGCCACCAUUCCCUCCUGGCCGAGGUGGCAGCACAUCCUGGCAACUUAACUUCUCCUUCUGGGGGAAAAGAAAAAAAAAUCUAUUAUUGAAGGUGACCCUGUGCCAAGGGCAGGUCACCCCUCUCUUUCCUCGCCUGUGUCCAAGCUCCUGGUGAAAUGACGCUAUUAUCCCUCUGCAAACACGGAGGAGCAAUUUCCUCCUGGCUCCUCCCGCCUCUGUUUGUUCCACUGGAUGACAAAUAUUGAGCAAAUGUGCAGUUUGAGCUUGGGGACCAGGAACAUCCCGUGCUGUCCUCCCGUGUGUUCAGACAAGCCCAGGGCCACAGUGGGGCAAGGCUGUCAUUGGCUCUGCCCUGUUCUCCCGCGACGGUGCGAGCUGCAUGGGGCCAGCCACCCUCAGAGCAGUUUCUAGCAGCGUCCUCACCCUGGCAGCGUCCCCAGGAUCGCCAGGCACCAUAUUUCCUGGUAUUAAAAACCCUACAGCAGGGGCUCCCAACUGGCGGCAGUUUGGCCUCCGCUCCCCAGGGGACUUUUCUUGCUGCCACAAUUUGUGGGUGGUGGUGGGGGUGUCUACUGGCAUCUGAUGGGGGGAAGCUAGGGCUGCCGCUGAGUGCCAGGUACGCAGAAGGCAGUCCCCACAACAGAGCACGAUCUGGUCCCCAAAGUCCAUUGCGCCAAUGCUGAGAAGCUUCAGUAUGGACUCGGGAGCUCUUACAAGGACGAAUUUUGAAAGGACACAUUGACAGGUGCUUUUCAUAAUCGAGGGCGUGGUCACACGACCCAGGCUUCGCCCAUCAGAUGGAUGCACCUUGCCAGGCUCGGCCUCCGAAGGAGUAGGGAUGGCACGGACUGUUGCCUUCCGUCGGAGCAAUGGGCUGCACAAGAUCAAGUUCCCAGCACAAAGGACCACCUUGCGGCGCCGGCGGUGAAUUCCUUACCAAACUGUUCUGUGGAAGAAUGUGAGGCAAUCAACAGGGACUUGGCUGCCUACUUCCUAGCCUCUGCCCCACCCGAUUUCCUGUUACUGAAUUCCUGUUCUGCGGAAGUCAGCCAGUCACUGUUGCUUGCAACGAAGAAGAGGAAAGAUACAAAAUUUGGACGCUACGAGCAACAGACACUCUAGUGUGCAAUUGGCCAGUCGAGGGGGCAGGGCCACGAGGACCUGUUAUUCCAGGCUGGGAUGCGGUGGCCCUUGCAUGAUCUUUGCAAGACAUUUGUUGGACACGAAAGCUCGGCAAGCUUUCCUGUAAAGGGCCAGAUAGUCACUGCAUCAGGCUUAGGGUUCAGUAUGGUCUCUUUGGCAGCCACUCACCUCUGCCUUUGAAAGCGGCCGCGAACGGUGUGUCAGCUGGUGUGUGUGUGGCUGGUUGCCAAGAUCAUUUUGCUUACAAAAUCAGGUGGUGGGCCGGAUUGGGCCCAUGGAUCAGAUGUUUGACACUGGUUUAAACUGUUGUGGAAACAUAUCUAGCUGCUGCCACGUUCAGCUUCCUAGAGUCUUCACUAAGCUCCUUCGAGAAAAAGUCAAUCUUGAGCCACAGGUGGCUCCUUGAGUGGCAAAAGUGGAAGACAAUAGGGCAUCACUGAGAUUCUUUCUGCCUGAAGUCUUAACAAUCUAAACUGAUAAGUCCAGGGAUUCAGAGGUUUGUGGGGAUGGGCGACUCAAAUUCUAAGCCAGGAAUUGGUGCGCUUGGCCCGUAAGGGCCAGACGGUAAAGAGCUCAGAUGUUACAGGCCACAUAAAGCCUUUGUUUGUUUCUUCUUCACAUUUUUUUGCAACUCUUUAAAAACAAAAAAGCAGGACACCUGGGUGGCUCAGAGGUUGAGCAUCUACCUUUGGCUCCAGUCAUGAGCCCACAGUCCCAGGAUCGAGUCCCACGUCGGGCUCCCUGCAUGGAGCCUGCUUCUUCCUCUGCCUCUGCCUCUGUCUCUGUCUCUCAUGAAUGAACAAAUAAAAUCUUUAUAAUAAAAAAUAAAAACAAAACACCAUUCUUAUCUCCUGGGCCAUUAAAAAGCAGGCUAUUGGCCAGCGAGCCUGUCAUGUGCCAAACUGUGCUCUAAACUAUACAGAUCAGUGGUGUGGAGGCAGAAAGCGGAGUGGAAUGGACGAGACAACUAGAAAAGAUGCGCCAGGUCCUAGCCUUUUCCACCAGAGGGACAAGCCCAGGGACAUAGCUUGGACUAUGACAGCUUGAAGUUAUUGCCUCAAGACAUAGAGCCAUGACACUAGGAGACAGCAAUUCUCGAGCUCAAAGAUUAGGCCCAUCUCAUAAGAGACCAUAAGACAGAACCAUCCACCUAUGCUGCGCCUGGAUUCCUAUCAAAACCUGUGCGACAGGAGCACCUGUGUGGCUCAGUGGGUGAGCACCUGCCUUCAGCUCAGGUCGUGAUCCUGGGAUCAGGGAAUCGAGUUCCACAUCGGGCUCCCUCUGCUUCUGUCUCUGCAUCUCUCUCUGUGUCUCUCAUGAAUAAAUGAAUAAGAUCUAAAACAAAACAAAAAAACCUGUGUGAUAAUAAAUGCUUGUUGUUUGAAAAAAGAAAAGAUCCAGGUACUAUCUCUGGCUGACUUGCCCACUAACUAGUUGCCAGCCUCCCUUGCAGCGAGGGCAUGGUCACAUGACCCAGGCUUCGCCCAUCAGAUGGAUGCACCAUUGGCCUUAUGGCCAAAGGAACCUUAUCUGUGACCAAAGACAUCCCAUGACUGUCCUCCCCUGAGGCACUUCUGAGACACUGGGCCUCAUGUCCACAGAAAGGAAGAAGGGGCUCGUCUCCACUGCCCAUCUUGGGUAUGGCCUUGGAGGGCUGUGCCCGGGAGAUGGUCCCCCUGAGUGGAAUCAAAGGCCAUGAACUGACCAACCACUGACCUCACUCUCCACCAGGGAGUGGUACUUGCAACUGACAAGGAACUUUGGCCACUGGGCAUGGAUUCUCCUUCUGCUCAUCCAUUUUCCAAAGGGGAUCAUCUCUUACAGGGAUUCUGUUCCUUUUCCCCCAUUACGUGUUGCUGCGUUGGGUGUAUAGGACUUAGCUUUUUGUCACAGGUCACUGGGCCAUGAGGAGCCACAUCUGGAUCUGACACAGGAUAAUCCAUGUCACCAAAUGAUUCUGGAGCUGGAAGUACUAACUGAUUUUGGCGUCAGGGUGUGUACCUCUUGGAAAGGGGUUAGUUCACUUUAUGAAUAUAUAAGAAUCUUAAAAAUUCUUAUGAAGUUUUGUGUAGACGUUGGGCAGCCCAGGGACAGACUGUGGCAGACCCUGUUGGUGGCCUCUUCUCUUCUCUAGGAGUGUGGUUGAUAAGUAUAUCCCUCACUGAGAGACUCUAAUGCCCAGCUAAGAGGUCAACACCAGUCGUAGUCAUUUUAAUUACCUCUCCCAGUGUUUGGGUUAAGCAUGAAAAUCGGAAUCCUCAGGCACUGGGAAGAGUUUGCCAAAGGAUUCUAAGAAAACUCUUCUUGUUCCUAAAAAGAGACACACACGAAAAAAGACAGUACCCUUCUCAUUUGAUUAGACCAGGGAAUGGCAAACAUUUUCUGUAACAGGCCAGAUAGUAUUACAGGCUGCAGGCUGUGCGUGUUCUGUGGUAACCCUCCCUAUGUAGCCUGAAAUCAGCCUGCAUGAUAUCUAAACAAAACAGCCAAGCUCCAAUAAAACCUUAUAGAUGGACGCUGAGAUUUGAAUUUCAUGUAAUUUUCAUGUGUCACCAAGUAUUCCUCUUUUCACUUCUGUUUUUUGUUGUUUGUUUGUUUUUUUUAUAUUGGGAACUAAGAUAAGUCUAGACAAUGGCAGGGACUAAGUACCAAACACCCAGCACAACACUUAUGCCAUAAUACAUACACAAAUACUUGGUGAAUAAAUAUUUAUAAUACCCUCAUGAUGAAUUGACCCCUUUAGCAGAAAUAUUAGUGCACCAUCAUUACUGCAACAUCAGAACACCUAGAUAUCAAGCAAUAGUAACAGAUCCAAGUAACAGAUCCAAAGGGAGGGAUACAGUAAUAGUAGCAGACUUUAGUACCCCACCGUCAGCAAUGGAUAGAUCAUCCAGGCAGAAAAUCAAUAAGGAAACAUUGGGUUUGAGCUAGACUUUAGACCAAAUGGACCAGACAACAUCUAUGGAACGUUCCCUCCGAGAGCAGUGGAAUAUACUUUCUUCUCAAGCACGCAGGGAGUAUUCUCCAGGAUGAAUCAUGCUAGGCCACCAAUACUUGGUGAAUGAAUGAGUGGCACGCUUCCUUCCAAGUGGAAGAAAUAUAUAAAAUUGAGUUCUCUGGGGUGCCCACCAUCUAUCUUCCACAUGGACCAAAAACCAAACCAAACUGACCAUGAAAAGACCCUAGAAACACAAAGAAUACAGACAGUAAGUAAGCCUUGGAGGUUUUUAGUUUGCAACUCCUACGUAGAGACAAGUGAACGCAGGUUCUCCAUAUUUGGCAUUCCUUCACUAAAAAUUCAAGAUCUCACUCUGUCUCUCUUCAUCUAUCAUCUAUCUAUCCAUCCAUCCUGUCUGUCCAUCCUAUCUACCUAACCAUCCUAUUAUCUAUCUAUCUAUCUAUCUAUCUAUCUAUCUAUCUAUCUAUCUAUCAUCUAUCAUCUAUCUUCUAUCUAUCCUAUCUAUCCAUCCAUCCUAUCUACCCACCUAUCCAUCUUAUCUAUCUAUCUAUCUAUCCUGUCUACCCAUCCUAUCUAAUCUACCUAUCCAUUCUAUCUUCUAUCUAUCCAUCCUAUCUAUCCAUCCUAUCUAUCCAUCCAUCCUGUCUGUCCAUCCUAUCUACCUAUCCAUCCUAUCUAUCAUCUAUCUAUCUAUCUAUCUAUCUAUCUAUCUAUCUAUCUCUACCUAUCAUCAUCAUCAAUCUAUCCAUCCUAUCUACCUGCCUAUCCUAUCCUAGCUAUCUACCUAUCCAUUCUAUCUUCUAUCUAUCCAACCUACCUACCCAUCCUAUCUAUCAUCUAUCUACCUAUCUACCUACCUACCAAUGUAUCUAUCAUCUCUUUCUUUCUGCUGAAUUUUUCAUUCUUUAGCAGAGUGUGCUGUAAAGAUAGUCUGAUUUUCAUCAUCGCCCAACCCUUUAAAGCAGAAGUCUUCAUUAAGCAAACUGGAGAAGAAGGCUAUAUGAUUUUCAGGGACCCUGCAAAUAGAAAAUGUGAAGCCAUUGGUUCAAUAUCACUAAGAAUUUUAAGACGGCACCAGCAGAUUGCUAACCAAACAGGGAGUCCUGAACAACUGCAGGUCAUUCUUCCAGGAAGCUGGUUCCAUGAGAGGCAAAGGGGUGGAAGCUGUCCUGUGAGGAACUCUCAAACAUCAGUUGCUCGCUAUAAAAACCGCACGAUUAUCUUGAUGAGAAAUCACGUGGUGCCCUGCCACUCAAAACGGUGGCAGUCUACACUGGAUGCUGGCACAGUUGGAACACUGGAGUCUGUUGCUCUGGGCCAUUUGGUUCCAAACUUUAUUUGCCAUGUACAGUUUCACAGUAUAUAAAAUAUAGGAAAUAAACUAUUUGAAAGGCACGUGAAAUAGAACAUAUCUAACCAAAGUCACAUUUUGCCCCCAAACCAAGAUUCAGAUUUAGCCUCUAGGCCAUUCCCUCACAUUUCCCCCAAACCACUACUCCCCGCAGUACACAAAACUGUCUAGUCUGCUGUAUUAUAAAUAACCUUUCAACUAUUAGCGAGUUGAUUCCCCGCUCAGGCAGAUUUUAAAUGAAGCCACAGCUACUAUCAACCUUCCAGCUACUGUGUUUAGUGUGUGUAUGUAUGGGCUUGGGGGUCACAGUUUCUGCAUCAUCAGUAAAUACAGAGCAUCAGGGGACUCCGAUGCGCUCAGGCUCACAACCUACAGCAGAGAGCAUGGGGGUGGGGGGACGUCGCCAACUUUCCUGUAUUCACGUAUGAAUAUACACAUUCACUCAGAGCAACAAAUCAAUCCUACAAACUCAUCUCAACAGAGACCCAAAGUCAUUUUAAUGCAAAUAACAAAACAAGUUAGUCUGUCUCCAUCCAUAGCCCCUCCACGAAAGAAGUACAGUACUUUAUAAAAAUGUUCUAAAAUGCGCAAACUACAGUUCCUUCAAAUACAAUUGUUACGGGUAACACAUUUGGUCCUAAUAUUUGCUUCCUGGAUGUCUCAGCUAAUUUUCUUCAUUGGGGUUGUUCUUGAGUCACUGAUAAUAAGCACUGAGUGAGGGCUGGUUCUGCCUACAGAUAAGAAGUUUGGACAGUUUCCUCCUCCCACCAUCACCUCUUCCUUGCUUCCCCGAAGGCAUGUCACACCCGUGGGGGAUGGAAAGUUGCUCUCACGUUUCACAAAACCUUGGUGUCACAGAUGGGUGUGGACACUGAAUGCUACAUGGUAGUGGUGACCAGCCAGGAAAACCCCUGGGGUCGUUUUGGAUGCUCACGGACCCCUCAAAUUUUGGGGAAGGAUGUUCACACACUACCUAGAGAGUAGGCUUUCCAGAUUUCUGGCUCUGAGCAUUUUUGUUUCCAGUGUGGCUACAAGAGAAAUCUGGAAGAGCCACCUGG